Molecule: ribosomal RNA, 491 nt
Filed under: uncultured bacterium
Lineage: Bacteria
Description: partial 16S ribosomal RNA
Rfam family: Bacterial small subunit ribosomal RNA
Source: RNAcentral
AGUGAACGCUGGCGGUAGGCCUAACACAUGCAAGUCGAACGGCAGCACAGUAAGAGCUUGCUCUUACGGGUGGCGAGUGGCGGACGGGUGAGGAAUACAUCGGAAUCUACUUUUUCGUGGGGGAUAACGUAGGGAAACUUACGCUAAUACCGCAUACGACCUACGGGUGAAAGCAGGGGAUCUUCGGACCUUGCGCGAUUGAAUGAGCCGAUGUCGGAUUAGCUAGUUGGCGGGGUAAAGGCCCACCAAGGCGACGAUCCGUAGCUGGUCUGAGAGGAUGAUCAGCCAAACAGGAACUGAAAAACGGUCCAGACUCCUACGGGAGGCAGCAGUGGGGAAUUUUGGAAAAGGGGCGCAAGCCUGAUCCAGCCAUCCCGGGGGGGUGAAGAAGGCCUUCGGGUUGUAAAGCCCUUUUUUUGGGAAAGAAAAGCAGCAGGUUAAUACCCCGCUGUUCUGACGGUACCCAAAGAAUAAGCACCGGCUAACUUCGU